GUGUAGAGAAGAAAUUGUUGUUUUUGCCUAGUUUAGAUGAUACUGACAUAGUUGGCUGCUCGGUUGCUUUGGCCAGGGUGAUCACAGAAGUAGCUGAUGAUGUAUUUCCUGUAAAGAAUACAUAGUAAAUUCAGUUAUUCAGUCGGGUAUAGUCCCAGAUUCAUGGAGAUCCCAAAUAGUUAUUCCUAUUUUAAAACCCAAUAAACCAGCAUCAGAUGUUUCUUCCUAUCGCCCUAUUGCCCUUUCUUCAGUAUUUGCAAAAAUAGCUGAACACUUAAUUAAGAACAGACUAGAAUUUUUUGUUGAAAAGAACCAAUUACUAUCUCAUAGUCAGUUUGGAUUCCGAAAAGGUAGGUCUACCUAUGAUAGUUUGGCAAUAUUAAUUGCAGAUAUACGCUUGGCUUUUUCUAAAAAUGAGUCAGUAGUAGCCGCUUUUCUGGAUAUAAGUGCUGCUUAUGAUAAUGUUCUGGUUUCUGUGUUACAAGAAAAGCUUCUCAAGUUAGGCAUUCCAGAAAUGUUAAGUAAUUUUGUAAUAAACCUUUUAUCUGAACGGUC
This is a long non-coding RNA of Cydia fagiglandana, 555 nucleotides long. RefSeq lists it as uncharacterized. NCBI's taxonomy places the organism in Eukaryota, Metazoa, Arthropoda, Insecta, Lepidoptera, Tortricidae. The transcript is spliced from 2 exons. The record is from RefSeq and is a predicted model, not a curated record.